AAAUGCUAUAAGUAAUGUGAAUUGCAGAAUUCAGUGAAUCAUCGAAUCUUUGAACGCACCUUGCGCUCCUUGGUAUUCCUUGGAGCAUGCCUGUUUGAGUAUCAUGAAAUCUUCAAAGUAAAUCUUUUGUUAACUCAAUUGGUUUCUACUUUGGUAUUGGAGGUCUUUGCAGCUUCACACCUGCUCCUCUUUGUUCAUUAGCUGGAUCUCAGUGUUAUGCUUGGUACCACUCGGCGUGAUAAGUUAUCUAUCGCUGAGGACACUGUAAAAGGUGGCCAAGGUAAAUGCAGAUGAACCGCUUCUAAUAGUCCAUUGACUUGGACAAUACUUUUAUGAUCUGAUCUCAAAUCAGGUAGGACUACCCGCUGAACUUAAGC
This 377-nucleotide unclassified non-coding RNA is filed under the name plant metagenome. Its description in RNAcentral is "partial contains 5.8S ribosomal RNA, internal transcribed spacer 2, and large subunit ribosomal RNA". The stretch from base 1 to 104 matches the Rfam family "5.8S ribosomal RNA", at positions 51 to 154 of the family's 154-position model. The record is from RNAcentral.